AUUGAACGCUGGCGGAAUGCUUUACACAUGCAAGUCGAACGGUAGAGGGGGCAACCCCUCGAGAGUGGCGAACGGGUGAGUAAUAUAUCGGAACGUGCCCAGUCGUGGGGGAUAACGUAGCGAAAGUUACGCUAUUACCGCAUACGAUCUAAGGAUGAAAGCGGGGGAUCGCAAGACCUCGCGCGAUUGGAGCGGCCGAGAUCAGAUUAGGUAGUUGGUGGGGUAAAGGCUCACCAAGCCAACGAUCUGUAGCUGGUCUGAGAGGACGACCAGCCACACUGGAACUGAGACACGGUCCAGACUCCUACGGGAGGCAGCAGUGGGGAAUUUUGGACAAUGGACGCAAGUCUGAUCCAGCCAUUCCGCGUGCAGGAUGAAGGCCCUCGGGUUGUAAACUGCUUUUGUACGGAACGAAAAGGUCUCUCUUAAUACGGGGGACUCAUGACGGUACCGUAAGAAUAAGCACCGGCUAACUACGUGCCAGCCGCCGCCGUAA
This 496-nucleotide ribosomal RNA is filed under the name uncultured bacterium. RNAcentral's name for it is "partial 16S ribosomal RNA". It matches the Rfam family "Bacterial small subunit ribosomal RNA", at positions 30 to 523 of the family's 1533-position model. The record is from RNAcentral.